UUCGACACACUAUCAUUAACUGAAUCCAUAGGUUAAUGAGGCGAACCGGGGGAACUGAAACAUCUAAGUACCCCGAGGAAAAGAAAUCAACCGAGAUUCCCCCAGUAGCGGCGAGCGAACGGGGAGGAGCCCAGAGCCUGAAUCAGUGUGUGUGUUAGUGGAAGCGUCUGGAAAGGCGCGCGAUACAGGGUGACAGCCCCGUACACAAAAAUGCACAUACUGUGAGCUCGAUGAGUAGGGCGGGACACGUGGUAUCCUGUCUGAAUAUGGGGGGACCAUCCUCCAAGGCUAAAUACUCCUGACUGACCGAUAGUGAACCAGUACCGUGAGGGAAAGGCGAAAAGAACCCCGGCGAGGGGAGUGAAAAAGAACCUGAAACCGUGUACGUACAAGCAGUGGGAGCCUCUUAAUGGGGUGACUGCGUACCUUUUGUAUAAUGGGUCAGCGACUUAUAUUCUGUAGCAAGGUUAACCGAAUAGGGGAGCCGAAGGGAAACCGAGUCUUAACUGGGCGUUAAGUUGCAGGGUAUAGACCCGAAACCCGGUGAUCUAGCCAUGGGCAGGUUGAAGGUUGGGUAACACUAACUGGAGGACCGAACCGACUAAUGUUGAAAAAUUAGCGGAUGACUUGUGGCUGGGGGUGAAAGGCCAAUCAAACCGGGAGAUAGCUGGUUCUCCCCGAAAGCUAUUUAGGUAGCGCCUCGUGAAUUCAUCUCCGGGGGUAGAGCACUGUUUCGGCAAGGGGGUCAUCCCGACUUACCAACCCGAUGCAAACUGCGAAUACCGGAGAAUGUUAUCACGGGAGACACACGGCGGGUGCUAACGUCCGUCGUGAAGAGGGAAACAACCCAGACCGCCAGCUAAGGUCCCAAAGUCAUGGUUAAGUGGGAAACGAUGUGGGAAGGCCCAGACAGCCAGGAUGUUGGCUUAGAAGCAGCCAUCAUUUAAAGAAAGCGUAAUAGCUCACUGGUCGAGUCGGCCUGCGCGGAAGAUGUAACGGGGCUAAACCAUGCACCGAAGCUGCGGCAGCGACACUAUGUGUUGUUGGGUAGGGGAGCGUUCUGUAAGCCUGUGAAGGUGUACUGUGAGGUAUGCUGGAGGUAUCAGAAGUGCGAAUGCUGACAUAAGUAACGAUAAAGCGGGUGAAAAGCCCGCUCGCCGGAAGACCAAGGGUUCCUGUCCAACGUUAAUCGGGGCAGGGUGAGUCGACCCCUAAGGCGAGGCCGAAAGGCGUAGUCGAUGGGAAACAGGUUAAUAUUCCUGUACUUGGUGUUACUGCGAAGGGGGGACGGAGAAGGCUAUGUUGGCCGGGCGACGGUUGUCCCGGUUUAAGCGUGUAGGCUGGUUUUCCAGGCAAAUCCGGAAAAUCAAGGCUGAGGCGUGAUGACGAGGCACUACGGUGCUGAAGCGACAAAUGCCCUGCUUCCAGGAAAAGCCUCUAAGCAUCAGGUAACAUCAAAUCGUACCCCAAACCGACACAGGUGGUCAGGUAGAGAAUACCAAGGCGCUUGAGAGAACUCGGGUGAAGGAACUAGGCAAAAUGGUGCCGUAACUUCGGGAGAAGGCACGCUGAUAUGUAGGUGAAGCGACUUGCUCGUGGAGCUGAAAUCAGUCGAAGAUACCAGCUGGCUGCAACUGUUUAUUAAAAACACAGCACUGUGCAAACACGAAAGUGGACG
Molecule: ribosomal RNA, 1678 nt
Filed under: Escherichia coli
Lineage: Bacteria; Pseudomonadati; Pseudomonadota; Gammaproteobacteria; Enterobacterales; Enterobacteriaceae
Description: partial 23S ribosomal RNA
Rfam family: Bacterial large subunit ribosomal RNA
Source: RNAcentral